RNAcentral lists this ribosomal RNA (510 nucleotides) under uncultured Desulfuromonas sp. RNAcentral's name for it is "bacterial SSU rRNA". It matches the Rfam family "Bacterial small subunit ribosomal RNA", at positions 903 to 1382 of the family's 1533-position model. Lineage: Bacteria; Pseudomonadati; Thermodesulfobacteriota; Desulfuromonadia; Desulfuromonadales; Desulfuromonadaceae. The record is from RNAcentral.
CGCCUUGCCAGCCCGCUCAGAAACUCAAAGGAAUUGACGGGGGCCCGCACAAGCGGUGGAGUAUGUGGUUUAAUUCGAUGCAACGCGAAGAACCUUACCUGGUCUUGACAUCCCGGAGACCCUUAGGAAACUAGGGGGUGCUUCCAUCUGGAAGAAUCUGGAGACAGGUGCUGCAUGGCUGUCGUCAGCUCGUGUCGUGAGAUGUUGGGUUAAGUCCCGCAACGAGCGCAACCCUCGUCCUUAGUUGCCAGCAUUCAGUUGGGCACUCUAAGGAGACUGCCGGUGUUAAACCGGAGGAAGGCGGGGAUGACGUCAAGUCCUCAUGGCCCUUAUGUCCAGGGCUACACACGUGCUACAAUGGCCGGUACAAAGGGUAGCAAGACCGCGAGGUGGAGCCAAUCCCAAAAAGCCGGUCUCAGUUCGGAUUGGAGUCUGCAACUCGACUCCAUGAAGUUGGAAUCGCUAGUAAUCGUGGAUCAGCAUGCCACGGUGAAUACGUUCCCGGGCCUU